CAGGGAAUUUUGCGCAAUGGGCGAAAGCCUGACGCAGCGACGCCGCGUGGGGGAAGAAGGCCCUCGGGUUGUAAACCCCUUUUCUGGGGGAAGAGCAAGGACGGUACCCCAGGAAUAAGCCCCGGCUAACUACGUGCCAGCAGCCGCGGUAAUACGUAGGGGGCGAGCGUUGUCCGGAAUUACUGGGCGUAAAGGGCGCGUAGGCGGCCCAGGAAGUCUCCGGUGAAAUCUCCCGGCUUAACUGGGAGCGGUCCGGGGAAACUCUUGGGCUUGAGGACAGCAGAGGAGGGUGGAAUUCCCGGUGUAGUGGUGAAAUGCGUAGAUAUCGGGAGGAACACCAGUGGCGAAGGCGGCCCUCUGGGCUGUACCUGACGCUGAGGCGCGAAAGCGUGGGGAGCGAACCGGAUUAGAUACCCCCGUAGUCC
This 425-nucleotide ribosomal RNA is filed under the name uncultured prokaryote. RNAcentral describes it as "bacterial SSU rRNA". It matches the Rfam family "Bacterial small subunit ribosomal RNA", at positions 355 to 796 of the family's 1533-position model. The record is from RNAcentral.